UGAACGUCAUUUGUGCGUUUAGGGGCGUCGUCACUUCCAUUCCAAUGUUGAGCGAGUGGUUGGAAAACUAUAAUUCUAUAUUGUACGAAUUAUACGACAAAUUGAAUUAUCAAAAUUGACAAUCAGCAUUGAUGUCAUUAGGGAAUUGUCAUUAAGUACCUACAGAACAACCAUUAUUUCUAGUUUAUCCUGCACAAUGACGAUCACCAAGAGGCUUGAUGAACGUAAAUAGUGCAGGGAUACAGGCGACCCCCUCUAUCUGGUAAAUGACGUCAUAAAGGCGCAUAUAAUUGACGAGUUUUUUCCGGUGACGGAUGAACUCGAAAGUGGUCUAUUAUUCUGUAUUAAGGUGGUAUGGGUGUCUUCCUCCAUCUUGGAUUGUAAAAAACAGAGAAUCAAAGGUCCAGAUUUUCCAUCAAGUUAGCAAAAUUUGAUGCAGGAAUGCAGAUGUUUAAUGUACAUUUUCAUUUAAAAGUACCAAUUUAUAAGAAUAUAACUUCUAAAUAUUGAUAUUUU
This 516-nucleotide long non-coding RNA is filed under the name Mytilus galloprovincialis (Mediterranean mussel). Lineage: Eukaryota; Metazoa; Mollusca; Bivalvia; Mytilida; Mytilidae. The record is from RNAcentral.